RNAcentral lists this unclassified non-coding RNA (397 nucleotides) under Homo sapiens (human). RNAcentral's name for it is "solute carrier family 52 member 2 (ENSG00000285112.5)". Lineage: Eukaryota; Metazoa; Chordata; Mammalia; Primates; Hominidae. The record is from RNAcentral.
UGUUCUUGAGGCGUCUGGCCAGGUGGCGCUCCGGGCAGGUGAGUCCUAGGAACCAGAGCUGGAAGCGCCAGCCGAUGGAGGUCGUGGGCAGGCUGCCGGCCCGGCCCUUAGGCAUCUGAGUCAGGCAGAGGUGGUCAGCCUGGCCGCUCGUCCGCUGCCGCCGCCCACUGCCCACAGCGGCACUCCUACCUCGGCCUACUUGGGUGUCCCCGCCUCUGAUACCUCCCUGCUGGAGGAAACAGCAGGAAAAGAGAACCAGGCAGGCAGGCAGACAUCCCCACGGAGCAGCGUUGGGCCCCCAAGGUGCCUGACCCACUUCCUAGAGUACUGAACAGUCCCAGAGUGUCACAGCUGAUGUGCAGGACAGCCUGGAGCUCUCACCUUCAACACGGGGUGU